CCUGAGUACGACGGAGCACGUGAAAUUCCGUCGGAAUCUGGGAGGACCAUCUCCUAAGGCUAAAUACUCUCUAGUGACCGAUAGUGAACCAGUACCGUGAGGGAAAGGUGAAAAGUACCCCGGAAGGGGAGUGAAAGAGAACUUGAAACCGUGUGCUUACAAGUAGUCAGAGCCCGUUAAUGGGUGAUGGCGUGCCUUUUGUAGAAUGAACCGGCGAGUUACGAUCUGAUGCAAGGUUAAGCAGAAAAUGUGGAGCCGUAGCGAAAGCGAGUCUGAAUAGGGCGAAUGAGUAUUUGGUCGUAGACCCGAAACCAGGUGAUCUACCCUUGGUCAGGUUGAAGUUCAGGUAACACUGAAUGGAGGACCGAACCGACUUACGUUGAAAAGUGAGCGGAUGAACUGAGGGUAGCGGAGAAAUUCCAAUCGAACUUGGAGAUAGCUGGUUCUCUCCGAAAUAGCUUUAGGGCUAGCCUCAAGUGAUGAUUAUUGGAGGUAGAGCACUGUUUGGACGAGGGGCCCCUCUCGGGUUACCGAAUUCAGACAAACUCCGAAUGCCAAAUAAUUUAACUUGGGAGUCAGAAUGUGGGUGAUAAGGUCCAUAUUCGAAAGGGAAACAGCCCAGACCACCAGCUAAGGUCCCAAAAUAUAUGUUAAGUGGAAAAGGAUGUGGCGUUGCCCAGACAACUAGGAUGUUGGCUUAGAAGCAGCCAUCAUUUAAAGAGUGCGUAAUAGCUCACUAGUCGAGUGACACUGCGCCGAAAAUGUACCGGGGCUAAACAUA
This 781-nucleotide ribosomal RNA is filed under the name Staphylococcus pseudintermedius. Its description in RNAcentral is "partial 23S ribosomal RNA". It matches the Rfam family "Bacterial large subunit ribosomal RNA", at positions 407 to 1190 of the family's 2925-position model. The record is from RNAcentral. Lineage: Bacteria; Bacillati; Bacillota; Bacilli; Caryophanales; Staphylococcaceae.